RNAcentral lists this long non-coding RNA (1156 nucleotides) under Lynx canadensis (Canada lynx). RNAcentral describes it as "lncRNA (ENSLCNG00005015872.1)". The record is from RNAcentral. Lineage: Eukaryota; Metazoa; Chordata; Mammalia; Carnivora; Felidae.
UUUCUGAACAACGCCACAAAGCAGUUUUUAACUACUAUCCUUAUUUUCAGAUAAGAACCUCACUUAUGCCCAAGUGACAAAGGCGGAAUUUAUCCGGUCUUUCUGGCUUCCAAGUCCAACGCCAGGGCGCGCUUUGUGCCGGGCUCAUGGUCAGUAUCCAAUACGGAAACGCGCAUUACCCUCCCGCCGCCGGCCUGGAUCUUCCCCGCUCCCGCUGCAGUCAGCUCCCGCACCCCAGUCUGCAGGGAACAUGUUCCGACAACACUCGCCCCAUCUGGGCCCCUGGAGCCCACACCCACCCGUCUUUGCCAGGUCUACGUUCCUGCCGGGGUCGGCACUUGGGGUGAACGGGGAGUUCCCGAGACGUCGUGGUCCCUUCCUCUGGGCACGAGCCCGCCCCUCUCCCUCCCGGCGUGCGGAGUUGGCCUCUCUCACCUGAGGGCAAACCCGGCGCAUCCCCACAGCCAGGGAGGACGGAAGCCGGUAAAUGGGGGUGACUGCACAUGCGCAGGGAAAAGCCCAGGAUAUCCGUUCCUAGAAUGCCGCGCGGUCAGCCGGAACAUCCAGAACUACAUUUCCAUGAAAAUACCGCGACCGCUCGCAGGUUUCGUGUACGUUGGGGCAGUCCACGUGGCAGGGAGGCAGACGGAAACCCUAUCUCUUCACUCUUAUCCCAUGCCUGAGACCCUACCUUACACCGAAGGAAAACUGGCCUGUGUGUGCUGAGAUGGCUGCAGAACAAUGACACCAAACACCAAGCAGACAAAGUCAUUUUUUGACCCUUAUGAUGUAACACAAACAAGGUCAUUGUUUUGCAUGAGUAAAGACAAAAACAAGGUUGCUCUGCUACUCUCAAAAUAUCAAACACCCCCCUCUCACCUAAUACAAGUGACUGUUGCUUGUUUUUUUUGUUUUUUUUUUUUGUUUGUUUUUGUUUUGUUUUGCUUUGCUUUGCUUUAACAACACCCAAUCCUGAAUAAACUCAGCUGCGUUGGAACCACUGCAAAAUGAAGUAACUAACACUCAAAUCCUAUAAUUCCUUCCUAACAUCUGUUACUGAAGCACUUUAUCAUUCCUAUCAUCCAAUGUAAUAUGUGCUCUGUCUUACUGCAAUGACUACUAAAAUCUAAAUUGUUCAACUGCAUGUGUGUUGCUG